CAGGUGUAGCAAUACAUGCUGACGAGCGGCGAACGGGUGAGUAAUGCUUUGGAAUCUUCCCAGUAGUGGGGAAUAACCAGUCGAAAGAUUGGCUAAUACCGCAUACGUCCGAGAGGGGAAAGCGGGGGCUCGUAAGACCUCGCGCUAUUGGAUGAGCCAAAGUCGGAUUAGCUAGUUGGUGGGGUAAUGGCCUACCAAGGCGACAAUCCGUAGCUGGUCUGAGAGGACGACCAGCCACACCGGAACUGAGACACGGUCCGGACUCCUACGGGAGGCAGCAGUGGGGAAUAUUGGACAAUGGGGGAAACCCUGAUCCAGCGACGCCGCGUGUGUGAAGAAGGCCUGCGGG
This 349-nucleotide ribosomal RNA is filed under the name uncultured bacterium. RNAcentral's name for it is "bacterial SSU rRNA". It matches the Rfam family "Bacterial small subunit ribosomal RNA", at positions 71 to 422 of the family's 1533-position model. The record is from RNAcentral.